AUUGAACGCUGGCGGCAUGCCUUACACAUGCAAGUCGAACGGUAACAGGUCUUCGGAUGCUGACGAGUGGCGAACGGGUGAGUAAUACAUCGGAACGUGCCCGAUCGUGGGGGAUAACGAAGCGAAAGCUUUGCUAAUACCGCAUAAGAUCUACGGAUGAAAGCAGGGGACCGCAAGGCCUUGCGCGAACGGAGCGGCCGAUGGCAGAUUAGGUAGUUGGUGGGAUAAAAGCUUACCAAGCCGACGAUCUGUAGCUGGUCUGAGAGGACGACCAGCCACACUGGGACUGAGACACGGCCCAGACUCCUACGGGAGGCAGCAGUGGGGAAUUUUGGACAAUGGGCGAAAGCCUGAUCCAGCCAUGCCGCGUGCAGGAUGAAGGCCUUCGGGUUGUAAACUGCUUUUGUACGGAACGAAAAGACUCUGGUUAAUACCUGGGGUCCAUGACGGUACCGUAAGAUUAAGCACCGGCUAACUACGUG
This 482-nucleotide ribosomal RNA is filed under the name uncultured bacterium. Its description in RNAcentral is "partial 16S ribosomal RNA". It matches the Rfam family "Bacterial small subunit ribosomal RNA", at positions 30 to 507 of the family's 1533-position model. The record is from RNAcentral.